UCAUUUCUCUCAUGUUUCAUUAAACCGAUUUCCCUAACUUUCCUCUUAGAAAUUUGUCCACAUUCUAGUUAGGGUGAAAUCGUUUUCCCAUUUUCCGUUUCAGAAAUCGCUUUGCUUCUCUACUAACAAUUCCAUUUCCUUAGACUUUCCUCUUCGAUUCAUAUUCUUCUUAAAUCUUUUUGUUCAAUGGGAUUUCUUUCAUAACAAUUAAACAGAUUCAAUUUUUCCUUUCUUCUCUCUCGUAGCAAUUCGAUUUUCUGCGUUUCAAUUUAGCUCUUCUUCUCUCAAAUCCUAAAAUCGCUCAUCUUCUCUAAAAUCGUUCUUCUCCUUUCGAUUCGAAUGUGUUCAUCAAAUUUUGUUCAAUUUCAUUCGUAGUCUCACAAAAUCGUAGAAAUUAAGUUUCAAAUCGUUCUUCCAUCUCAAGUAAAUGAAUAUUUUUCUUCCAUCACAAUUUCCUCGAAAUACAUUUCCUUCAAGACCUGUUCAUCGGGUUAUCAGGCUCCUCCGUUGACUUCACCUAUAAAUCUUCUUCCCAAAUCUACGACAUUUUCGUUUAAAAUUGUCGGGUUCUUCAAGGCAAAUAUUGGGAGGCUCCAUGGUUUAUUGUGACAACCAGCUAUAUUUAGUAAGUUGCAGAACUAGUUCAAUUCAUGUCGAAUAAGUAAGUUGCAGCCUCUAGUAGCAAUUUUAUACAUCUUGAUAUUGGUAAUUGAAAAAUCACAUAACAUGUUAAAUACUAAUGACUAUCUUUUUGAGCAAUGAACAUUCAUUUACAUUGAUUUCAGUCUUAGCUUUGCAUGGUCUGCAAGUGAAAAAAUCACCAAAGCGUGUUGCAUAGAGAUGAUGGCUUUAUUCCUGAACUUUCAUACAUAUUUACAUAGAUACUUGAUUUUGAUCUUUAGAUUAGGACCCUAAGUAUCACUUCUUAUCUUAUAAAGUGCUUAUUAUUGUUUUGAUUCUUAAUUAGGGAUGACUUCUUCUUUGUUUGAUUUUUAAUUCCUCUUACAGGAUAUUUAUUUUUGCCAUUCAAUCCAUCUAAGGUCAGUUCAAUCAUUCCCAUCUCAAUGCUUUUGUUUCUAAAUUCCUCUUACACUCUGAAUGCAACAUUUCUUGAAACAAACAAUAGCUUUUUUUGGCAUUGACUUUUACCCUUUUCUUGACUCUCUUUUUCCCUUUUUGCUAAAUCUAUUACUGAACUAGAAAAUAUUUCUUUAUAUCUUUAACUUGCUAGAAGAUUCUAGGUCUUUAUUUUUUUUAUUUGAAGACCUAUGUUUUCAAAAUGUAGUAUUACAUUAAUUACUGUAAUACCACAGAAUCAUACACACAAAGAGUAGUACAAUAAUAGUCUAUUCAUUAUUCCGAUGUGAAGUGCGGUGAACCAAAAUUAAAUGUUGUAUGCGAAGCUGGUAUCAGCUGACAAAAAUUAGUGAAGGUUAUUUUGAAGGCAAGUUGUUGAAAUCAAUGAGCAAACAUCCAUUCAGUCAUAUCUUGCUGGAAUGUGGCUAGAGUAAUUUGUAACUAGUAUUAGUAAUGUUGUUCUGAGUGCAAUAGACCUGUCUGUUUGUGCAUAUAUGUAAUAUUUAAGGUGUGUGCAUCAAUAGCUUCUAUGGGAAACUAGCUCAUAAUAAUUGUCUCGACUUUGCAUAUGAAUUUUGAAGCUUUAUUUGGGUAUGGUGUCAUUCUAGUUCUUAUCAUGACGAGGAGCAUUAUAGUAGUGUUCCAUUAAAGGAUGAUCCUUGUGAUGGACCUGCAAGGUCGAUUGUAAUUAAGGUUCUUAUUGGAAUUUUGUUUCCUAAUUCUCAAAUUAAUGUUAAGAGUUAAGAGUAGUAGCUAUUUACUGAUUAAUUCUAGUUUGUGAAAGGCGAAUGUCGAUCUUUCAGCGCCAUCCCAUCAAACGAAAGAUAGAGCUAGCAAACCCUAUGAGCAAGCUGGUAGGCAAACGUUUUAGCUGGGUCUGUAAAGGUGGUUAUGGCUGGAAAUGGAUAUGAAAACAGAGAGAAAAUGGAACAAGUGCAAUAAGUGGAUGCCUUUUUCUUUGUUUGAAAAUUGAUGAUAUCUCAAUUAAAGGAGAACUCUUGCAGCUUGCUGUUUUUUUUUCUUUUGGAAAUUAACAACUUUACAUGUAAUUAUAAAUUCUUUGUUGCAGAUUCUAGAUCAGGUAAAUGGAGAUGUUGGGACUGUUAUAGAGUUUCUAAUAGCAGAACAACGAGCAGAAAAGUGCUCUUCAAAUUCUGAUUGCCUUCAAAGUCAGGCUAGUAUUAACGGCAAUGUCAAGUCAUUUCAUUUUGCACUUUCUGAAAGUCAAACCAUCAUAUUUUCCUGUUCAUAAUUGUUAAUUUGGUUCUCUAUAUAGCAUAUUACAUCUUGGUAGGAUUCAUUCAUGUUUGUGUUUACUAUUUAUACUCCAACUCUUAACUCCAAUUUCU
RNAcentral lists this long non-coding RNA (2426 nucleotides) under Cicer arietinum (chickpea). Its description in RNAcentral is "long non-coding RNA (CARI_LNC001371)". Lineage: Eukaryota; Viridiplantae; Streptophyta; Magnoliopsida; Fabales; Fabaceae. The record is from RNAcentral.